UACCAGCUCUCCGAGUUGUAGGGAUGAUUAUUGGGCUUAAAGCGUCCGUAGCUGGCUUAGCAAGUCUCCUGUUAAAUUCAGCGACCUAAUCGUUGAGCCGCGGGAGAUACUACUAGGCUAGGAGGCGGGAGAGGUCGACGGUACUUUCGGGGUAGGGGUGAAAUCCUAUAAUCCCGGGAGGACCACCAGUGGCGAAGGCUGUCGACUAGAACGCGCUCGACGGUGAGGGACGAAAGCUGGGGGGAGCGAACCGGAUUAGAUACCCGGGUAGUCCCAGCUGUAAACUAUGCGGGCUAGGUGUUGGGGUGGCUACGGGCCACUUCAGUGCCGCAGGAAAGCCAUUAAGCCCGCCGCCUGGGGAGUACGGCCGCAAGGCUGAAACUUAAAGGAAUUGGCGGGGAGCACCACAAGGCGUGAAGCUUGCGGUUC
Molecule: ribosomal RNA, 429 nt
Filed under: uncultured archaeon
Lineage: Archaea
Description: bacterial SSU rRNA
Rfam family: Archaeal small subunit ribosomal RNA
Source: RNAcentral